GUGUCAGCCGCCGCGGUAAUACGAAGGGGGCUAGCGUUGUUCGGAAUUACUGGGCGUAAAGCGCACGUAGGCGGACAUUUAAGUCAGGGGUGAAAUCCCGGGGCUCAACCCCGGAACUGCCUCUGAUACUGGGUGUCUUGAGUGUGGUAGAGGUGAGUGGAAUUGCGAGUGUAGAGGUGAAAUUCGUAGAUAUUCGCAGGAACACCAGUGGCGAAGGCGGCUCACUGGACCACAACUGACGCUGAGGUGCGAAAGCGUGGGGAACAAACAGGAUUAGAUACCCUGGUAGUCCACGCCGUAAACGAUGGAAGCUAGCCGUCGGAGGAUUUAUCCUUCGGUGGCGCAGUUAACGCAUUAAGCUUCCCGCCUGGGGAGUACGGUCGCAAGAUUAAAACUCAAAGGAAUUGACGGGG
This 413-nucleotide ribosomal RNA is filed under the name uncultured prokaryote. Its description in RNAcentral is "bacterial SSU rRNA". It matches the Rfam family "Bacterial small subunit ribosomal RNA", at positions 505 to 918 of the family's 1533-position model. The record is from RNAcentral.